GCGCCCAUGGUGAAACUGGCAGACGCAACCGGUUUAAGCCCGGUUUCCAUUGGAGUGAAGGUUCGAAUCCUUCUGGGCGCA
RNAcentral lists this transfer RNA (81 nucleotides) under Elusimicrobiales bacterium. Its description in RNAcentral is "tRNA-Leu". It matches the Rfam family "tRNA". Rfam says of the family: Transfer RNA (tRNA) molecules are approximately 80 nucleotides in length. The record is from RNAcentral. Lineage: Bacteria; Pseudomonadati; Elusimicrobiota; Elusimicrobia; Elusimicrobiales.